RNAcentral lists this ribosomal RNA (411 nucleotides) under Bradyrhizobium sp. R-45954. Its description in RNAcentral is "bacterial SSU rRNA". It matches the Rfam family "Bacterial small subunit ribosomal RNA", at positions 9 to 446 of the family's 1533-position model. The record is from RNAcentral. Lineage: Bacteria; Pseudomonadati; Pseudomonadota; Alphaproteobacteria; Hyphomicrobiales; Nitrobacteraceae.
GAGUUUGAUCCUGGCUCAGAGCGAACGCUGGCGGCAGGCUUAACACAUGCAAGUCGAGCGGGCGUAGCAAUACGUCAGCGGCAGACGGGUGAGUAACGCGUGGGAACGUACCUUUUGGUUCGGAACAACACAGGGAAACUUGUGCUAAUACCGGAUAAGCCCUUACGGGGAAAGAUUUAUCGCCGAAAGAUCGGCCCGCGUCUGAUUAGCUAGUUGGUGAGGUAAUGGCUCACCAAGGCGACGAUCAGUAGCUGGUCUGAGAGGAUGAUCAGCCACAUUGGGACUGAGACACGGCCCAAACUCCUACGGGAGGCAGCAGUGGGGAAUAUUGGACAAUGGGGGCAACCCUGAUCCAGCCAUGCCGCGUGAGUGAUGAAGGCCCUAGGGUUGUAAAGCUCUUUUGUGCGGGAA